Molecule: RNA transcript, 5026 nt
Organism: Andrographis paniculata
Lineage: Eukaryota; Viridiplantae; Streptophyta; Magnoliopsida; Lamiales; Acanthaceae
Gene name: probable disease resistance protein At4g27220
Exons: 8
Source: RefSeq, a predicted model, not a curated record
GUUGUAUCAUUGCCAGUUUAUCAUUAAUUAAUUAAUUCACUCUCUUGUCUUGUCUUUGUGUUCUAACUCCCAAUUAUUUCAUCUUCAUCUUCAUCUUCAUCUUCAUCUUCUUCACUUUCAGAUCCAUCAAGUUCAAAUUCAAAUUCUAUUCCAAAUCCAAAUCUUCCUCGCAUAUGCAUAUUCUUCAAAAUCUGCAUAUCAGGUUUAAUUGUUCAAUAUACAUACAUAUAUAUAUAUAUAAUUGCUUUCUUUUUUCUCUGGAUUAGUACAUCAUUUUAAUUAUUUCGUUAGAAAUAUCUUAUCUUUAUCUUAUCAACUGGGAUUUGCAAGAAACUAAUGAUACAAUAUUAUUGAGCAAUAUUUUGGUCGCUGCUAUCUUUGAGUUUAUUGAAGUGUUCUUGUGUUCAGCCUCUUGUUGGAGUAUAUCUUCUGUAGAAUUAUUGUCUCCUUAUUUCUCUCUACUUGGUAUUUCUGUGAUGUUCCAAUUAUGUUCAACUCUUCCAGAUAUUAUUAUAUGUAUUCUGAGAUGUCACUUCUGAUAAAGCUGGUAUUCAAUCUGUGUUGCUAAGACCAUUCACUCACAUCUUCCUCAGAAAGUAGAUUGGAGGCGAUAGAUCGAAGAAUCAUAUUAGGCUUAAAUAUAUGGAUGCUGCUGUGGGAGCUUUGAUUACUCCAGCUGCAGAGGAAAUUGGCAACAAGUUCGUUUCCUUCGUUAAAAAGCAGUUCAACUAUUUAUGCUGCUUCAAACAGAAUGUUGAGAAAUUCAGGGAAAAAUCCAAAGAGUUGAAAAAUGAAAAAGAUGAUUUGCAAAAAAGAGUCGACCAAGAGAGAAAUAAUACGCAUCAGAUUCUUCAAAAGGUCUCUGACUGGAUUGGAGAGGCUAGCAAGAUUGAGAAUGACCCUGGUGAAAUUCAAGAAGGAAGUUCCCACUUGAAUGAUGGAUGCUGCACGAUUCGAUCACAUUAUGAAAUGAGUCGGAGAGCUGUAAAGGCUACUGAAAAAAUAGAAAAGCUUCUACAACGGUGUAGAGAUUUGGGAGAUCAUAUAUCGGUGCCUGGACUUCCGGCAGCACAGGCUUCUGUUCCACCUGGAGAAGCCCUUGAAUUUUCAUCUAGGAAAGAUAUAGAAAAAGGUGUCAUAAGAGCUUUUAAGGAUGAGAAUGUUCAUUUGAUUGGGAUAUGCGGUAUGGGUGGUGUGGGGAAGACUACUUUGGCCAAAAAAGUUCAAUAUAUAGCAAAGGAGGAAUUGGGUUUAUUGGAAGAAGCUGUGAUGGUUGUUCUCGGUCAAAAUGUUGAUCUGAAGAAAAUUCAACUCGAGAUUGCUGAAUGCUUGGGUUUGAAUGAGAUUAAGGAUGUCGAAUCAUACCAAGCUAGAGCACAUAAACUACGUGAGAGACUAAGAGGCACAAGACGGACCCUCCUAAUUCUGGAUGAUAUUUGGGAAAGUAUCAACUUGGAGGAAUUAGGAAUUCCUUGUAAAAGCGAGUCCGAAGGCUGCUCUGUUUUAAUAACUACUCGGAACAGAGAUCUGUUGAAAGAAAUGGAUGUUCAGAUUGUUGCAAUGGAAACCUUGUCUGAAGAGGAAGCGUGGUCCCUCUUUCAAGCGAAAGCUGGAGAUUGCGUGAAUAACUCAGAUACACAGCCUAUAGCCAAAGAAGUAGUGAAAGAGUGCGAAGGUUUGCCGCUUGCAAUUAUAAAUGUCGGCAUGGCGAUGAAAGACGAAAAUAACUGUGACAAAUGGGAGAGAGCAUUGGAUCGACUAAAAUGUCCCACGUCACCCAAAAUUGAUAAAACUUUAAGAAAAAUUUAUAACCCAUUGAGGCUAAGUUAUGAUUACUUGGAAGAUGACGAUAGCAAAUCCUUGUUGCAGCUCAGCAGUCAAUUUCCUGAGGAUUUUAAUAUUAGCCUCGAGGACCUAAUCUUAUGCAGCUUUGGGUUAUGGAUGUGGGAAGAAGGUUGUAAUUUGAUAAAAGCAAGAAGUAGAGUUUAUGAUUCAAUUGAUAAGCUUAAAAGUAAUUUCUUGCUGAUGGAUGGAGACAGGAAUAACACUGUCAAAAUGCAUGAUGUGGUUCGUGAUGUGGUUAGAUUCAUCGCAUCUGAAGAUGGCUUGGUCGAUUUGCAGCAUGAGUCGAGGGGAUAUUAUUCUACCAGUUGCAAAUGGAUAUUGGAAUUUCCAGAAAAGGAUAGUGAUUUUCUUAAAUACCUUUUGGGGCCUAAUUUUCCAAGUCUUCAGCUUUUGCUCCUACAAAAAGGAGGAUGGUGGGACUCAAUUUUCAAUGAGCAAUUGGUUGACUUCCCAGAUGUGAGUUACUUUAUGUUACGUGGUCAGUCAGAGGCUUUAGAGAUAAGCGACUUUUCCUUUAUGGAGACAAUGAAAGAGCUUCGCGUGUUGUCUUUCAAAGAAAUAUCGUGCAAAUCACUGCCACAAGCAAUUUUGUUGCUGAAAAAUCUUCGGACAUUGCGGCUAAACAAUUGCCCAUUGGAAAACAUUGAUGUUGUUGGCACGUUGUUAAGUCUUGAAAUAUUGAGUUGUGUUUGCUGUCCAAAUAUUCAUGAGAUACCUCUUGUUAUAAGGGAGUUGAAGAAGCUGAGGUUGUUAGAAUUUUCCUACUCCUCAGGUCUCAAAAGAGUAUCUCCUGGAAUCAUAUCAAACUUAACUGCAUUAGAGGAAUUGAAGAUGUCACAUAGUUUCAAGGGAUGGGAAUCAACAAAGCUCGAUGAAACGAAGAGAAAAAAUGCCACUCUCAAAGAGCUUGAGUCAUUACGCAAGCUAACAUGCCUCGAGAUUCAAAUUGAGGAUGUUAGUGCGCUCGAGGAGGAGAUUCAGCUUCCAUGUGUAAAGAGGUUUAAAGUUUUAUUUGGAGAAGAGGUUCGUAGGAUUCAUAUUGCAGAGAAAGCUUUGAUUUUGCAGGGAUUAUCAAAAGAGAACAUUCAUAUUCCAAAUUGGAUCAUUGGACUUGCAAGGAAUAGUGAUGUGCUAUGUUUAGAAGGAGAUGGUUCGAUAAACUUUCAUCUUUCACAAGUCCAUAACACUAUUAAGUCUUUGGAAGUUCGGGAAUGUGGAAUGCUCAAGUCAUUGGUAAAUGCAACCACGGCGGCAGCGACAUCAACUGAUUGUAGGAGCUUUGGAUUUUUCAGAGAAUUAAAGUCGAUGGAACUUUAUAAUCUUCAGAGCAUGAAAGAGUUAUGUGAUGGACCAAUAUUAGAGGGAUCAAUUUCUUUUAAUAAUUUGAGAGAAAUGUAUCUUGUAAGAUUGCCAUCACUUGAAAAAUUGUGGAGUCCAAAUCAACAUGUUAUGCUCAACAACUUGUUACGGGUAUAUUUGGAAGGAUGCAAUGAGCUACAAAAUCUCUUCUCUUUUGAAAGUACCAAAGACUUCCCCUCAAAUCUUGAAAAGAUCCAAAUCUGGAAUUGCAAGAAGAUGAAACAAGUGUUUGUUAAUGGACACACAAGUCAUGUUCUUAUCCCAAAAUUGAAGAUGCUAGAACUAUCCAACUUACCAAAUCUUACUAGUUUUAGCAAAGCAGCGGCUAGCAUUGAGUUUCCAGUGUUGGAGGUGUUGAUUAUAGAGAAAUGUCCAAAAUUUGUAAAUUUUGUGGAAAGCAGUGAGAAGAAAGAGGAAGGAAACACCGACGAGAAUAGCCCAAUUACUCUUUACCUAUUUGAUCUCGAGAAGGUUAAACUCGGUAGAUUGGAAAAGUUAACCAUAUUUAAUUGCAACAAUAUCAAAACCUUGUGUACAAUUUCAGGAAUUGAUCAUUUUGUCAAUCUCAAAGAAUUGUGGAUUAAAGAUUGCAAAUUCAUGGAACAAGUGAUAGCAAUUAAGAAAAUGAGAUGUGAAAGUUUGAUUGUAAAAGAUGAGGUGAUGGAAGGACUUCUAAAAAAGAAUGAGAAUGAAGAUGAUGAGAUAACAAACUACAUUGUUUUUCCGAAAUUGGAGCAUCUAUGGCUUCAAGAACUAUCAAGUCUAACUAGCUUUGGGAAAGGGAUUGAAAGCAUUGAAUUCCCUAUGCUAGCCGAAUUGGAAAUUGUAGAUUGUUCGAAUCUCAUGAGCAUUAUUUGUUCCAUGGAAUCCGAUAAAAAAUGUCACCAUGAGGAUGAUGAAGAUGAAGAUGAAUCCCUUCACUUAUUCUGCAACCAAAAGGUUAAAAUUGACAGAUUGAAGGAGUUGCGAAUUUCGGGAUAUGGAGACAUGAGCAAUAUUUGGUGCCGGCAUAUUCCUCAGUCUUUCUUUAUAUCAUUAGAGAAAUUGGGGAUAAGUAGAUGUCACAACAUCAAGAGUUUAUUUUCUUCUGCAAUUGUUGGGCACCUUGUCAACAUUGAAGAAUUAUACAUUGAAGAUUGCAAGAAAAUGGAAGUAGUCAUUUCUGGCGACAAAAAGAUGAAUGAUAGUUCAACGCCACUUCCAAGGUUGGCUGAAUUAAGACUUACAGGCCUGCCAAUUCUGGGGAUGAUUUGUGAAUGGAGAUUAGAUAUUGAGUUGCCAUUGUUGGAAAGAUUAUGGAUAAGUAACUGCUCACAAAUGGAGUCUUUGUCGCUUGAAUCUUGGACCGCACCAAAGUUGAUGACUGCGGUAGUAGACUACAGGGAGUUUGAAAACUUGAAAGGAGUGAAAGAUUAAAAUAUUUUUCUAUGCCCACAUACUAUGUCCGCAAGCGUAGAGGAAUCAAAUUUAUUACAUGGACUGGAGGUCGUAGAGAUUGAAGAAGUUUGAAUAACGAAAAGGUACCGUUAAAUGGCCAUAUUUUAGUUUCACUGGCGAUUAGAGGAGGCAAUGGAGGGAGGGCAGCUGAGAAGGAGCAGAAUGUGAUGAAAACACUCACUCCAGCUAGCAAUCCUACUUGUAUUUGAUGAACAUUCUCACUUAAAAUCGAUCUCUUUCCCAUUUUGCUUUGGAACAUUUUUUCCAUUAAAUAAGUUUUCUUGACUCAUAAUUUUGGGAGUUUGAUGGAACAUUGAACACUUGGGUGUAUUAGGGUUUUAUGAUACUUUUCAACUCUUCUUUUAUAAUAUAUUUUUGUGUGUUC